CUACGGGACGCUCCAGUGGGGAAUAUUGCACAAUGGGGGAAACCCUGAUGCAGCAACGCCGCGUGGAGGAUGACACAUUUCGGUGCGUAAACUCCUUUUAUAGGUCAAGAUAAUGACGGUAGCCUAUGAAUAAGCGCCGGCUAACUCCGUGCCAGCAGCCGCGGUAAUACGGAGGGCGCAAGCGUUACUCGGAAUCACUGGGCGUAAAGAGCAUGUAGGCGGGUUAAUAAGUCAGAAGUGAAAUCCAAUAGCUCAACUAUUGAACUGCUUUUGAAACUGUUAACCUAGAGUGUGGGAGAGGUAGAUGGAAUUUCUGGUGUAGGGGUAAUAUCCGUAGAGAUCAGAAGGAAUACCGAUUGCGAAGGCGAUCUACUGGAACAUUACUGACGCUGAGAUGCGAAAGCGUGGGGAGCAAACAGGAUUAGAUACCCUCGUAGUC
RNAcentral lists this ribosomal RNA (439 nucleotides) under uncultured bacterium. RNAcentral's name for it is "partial 16S ribosomal RNA". It matches the Rfam family "Bacterial small subunit ribosomal RNA", at positions 339 to 795 of the family's 1533-position model. The record is from RNAcentral.